UACGGGGGGUGCAAGCGUUAUCCGGAUUCACUGGGUUUAAAGGGUGCGUAGGUGGGGCGGUAAGUCAGUGGUGAAAUCCCCGAGCUUAACUUGGGAACUGCCAUUGAUACUAUCUCUCUUGAAUAUCUUGGAGGUGAGCGGAAUAUGUCAUGUAGCGGUGAAAUGCUUAGAUAUGACAUAGAACACCAAUUGCGAAGGCAGCUCACUACACGAUUAUUGACACUGAUGCACGAAAGCGUGGGGAUCAAACAGG
This 253-nucleotide unclassified non-coding RNA is filed under the name uncultured Chitinophagales bacterium. Its description in RNAcentral is "contains 16S-23S intergenic spacer region". It matches the Rfam family "Bacterial small subunit ribosomal RNA", at positions 524 to 776 of the family's 1533-position model. Lineage: Bacteria; Pseudomonadati; Bacteroidota; Chitinophagia; Chitinophagales. The record is from RNAcentral.